GACGAACGCUGGCGGCGUGCUUAACACAUGCAAGUCGAACGAUGAUGCCCAGCUUGCUGGGUGGAUUAGUGGCGAACGGGUGAGUAACACGUGAGUAACCUGCCCCUGACUCUGGGAUAAGCGUUGGAAACGACGUCUAAUACUGGAUAUGAUCACUGGCCGCAUGGUCUGGUGGUGGAAAGAUUUUUUGGUUGGGGAUGGACUCGCGGCCUAUCAGCUUGUUGGUGAGGUAAUGGCUCACCAAGGCGACGACGGGUAGCCGGCCUGAGAGGGUGACCGGCCACACUGGGACUGAGACACGGCCCAGACUCCUACGGGAGGCAGCAGUGGGGAAUAUUGCACAAUGGGCGAAAGCCUGAUGCAGCAACGCCGCGUGAGGGAUGACGGCCUUCGGGUUGUAAACCUCUUUUAGUAGGGAAGAAGCGAAAGUGACGGUA
RNAcentral lists this ribosomal RNA (437 nucleotides) under uncultured bacterium. RNAcentral's name for it is "bacterial SSU rRNA". It matches the Rfam family "Bacterial small subunit ribosomal RNA", at positions 28 to 477 of the family's 1533-position model. The record is from RNAcentral.